This 300-nucleotide unclassified non-coding RNA is filed under the name uncultured Ascomycota. RNAcentral describes it as "sequence contains 5.8S rRNA gene, ITS2". The stretch from base 1 to 94 matches the Rfam family "5.8S ribosomal RNA", at positions 58 to 154 of the family's 154-position model. The record is from RNAcentral. Lineage: Eukaryota; Fungi; Ascomycota.
GGUCAGAUGUGGAUAAGAGACAGGUGAGUCAUCGAAUCUUUGAACGCACAUUGCGCCCUUUGGUAUUCCGAAGGGCAUGCCUGUUCGAGCGUCAUUAUAACCACUCAAGCCUUUGCUUGGUAUUGGGGUUCGCGGUCUCGCGGCCCCUAAAAUCAGUGGCGGUGCCUGUCGGCUCUACGCGUAGUAAUACUCCUCGCGAUUGAGACCGGUGGGUAGCUUGCCAACAACCCUAAUUUUCUCAGGUUGACCUCGGAUCAGGUAGGGAUACCCGCUGAACUUAAGCAUAUCAAUAAGCGGAGG